UCCGAUGUGGUGUAGUGGCUAACAUUGCUGUCUUUCAUAUCAGGAGGGCACAGCAGCCCGGGGUUCGAUUCCCCGCAUCGGAA
Marasmius tenuissimus is the source of this 83-nucleotide non-coding RNA. The record is from the annotation of a GenBank genome assembly. Lineage: Eukaryota; Fungi; Basidiomycota; Agaricomycetes; Agaricales; Marasmiaceae.